GUAUGCAAACAUACCAGUACUAAUGCACCAUAUUCCAUAAAGACUCCUCAGUUAAGCGUGUUUGGACGAAAAAGUAUUAAGAUGGGUGAUCUUCCGAAGAAUCGUGUUGCAUCUU
This is a non-coding RNA of Arabidopsis suecica, 115 nucleotides long. The record is from the annotation of a GenBank genome assembly. Lineage: Eukaryota; Viridiplantae; Streptophyta; Magnoliopsida; Brassicales; Brassicaceae.